RNAcentral lists this ribosomal RNA (106 nucleotides) under Catenaria anguillulae. RNAcentral's name for it is "partial large subunit ribosomal RNA". Lineage: Eukaryota; Fungi; Blastocladiomycota; Blastocladiomycetes; Blastocladiales; Catenariaceae. The record is from RNAcentral.
GGCAUGUCCGUGAAUGUAAAGUCCACUGGAAUGUGGCACCGCUUCGGCGUUCUUUGGGUCAGAGAGGGUGAAAACCCCGUUUACAUUCAUUGUGGGGCGUGUCUGU